UCAUGUCCUACCCUGUAAGCACUUACCCGGGAGGCAUUUAUCUUGCCGAUGGCCCAUAAAACUCUGUUUAUUAUACCGUAUUCUGAGUGGUUAAUCAGAUCAAGUUAAAAACUUUCAACAACGGAUCUCUUGGUUCUGGCAUCGAUGAAGAACGCAGCGAAAUGCGAUAAGUAAUGUGAAUUGCAGAAUUCAGUGAAUCAUCGAAUCUUUGAACGCACAUUGCGCCCAUUAGUAUUCUAGUGGGCAUGCCUGUUCGAGCGUCAUUUCAACCCUUAAGCCUUGUUGCUUAGUGUUGGGGGCCUAUAGAUGCUGUCUAUAGCCUCUUAAAGUUAGUGGCGGAGUUGGCUCACACUCUAGACGUAGUAAAUCAUUUAUCUCGCCUAUAGAUGAGUCGGCUUCUUGCCGUAAAACCCCUAUAAUCUUGUCAAGGUUGACCUCGGAUCAGGUAGGAAUACCCGCUGAACUUAAGCAUAUCAAUAAGCGGAGGA
This 488-nucleotide ribosomal RNA is filed under the name Brunneiperidium involucratum. RNAcentral's name for it is "eukaryotic LSU rRNA". The stretch from base 110 to 263 matches the Rfam family "5.8S ribosomal RNA". Lineage: Eukaryota; Fungi; Ascomycota; Sordariomycetes; Xylariales; Xylariaceae. The record is from RNAcentral.